UACGUAGGGUGCGAGCGUUAAUCGGAAUUACUGGGCGUAAAGCGUGCGCAGGCGGUUCGUCGUGCCCGAUGUGAAAGCCCCGGGCUCAACCUGGGAAUGGCAUUGGAAACUGGCGGACUCGAGUGUGGCAGAGGGGGGUGGAAUUCCGCGUGUAGCAGUGAAAUGCGUAGAGAUGCGGAGGAACACCGAUGGCGAAGGCAGCCCCCUGGGCUAACACUGACGCUCAGGCACGAAAGCGUGGGGAGCAAACAGG
RNAcentral lists this ribosomal RNA (253 nucleotides) under uncultured bacterium. RNAcentral describes it as "partial 16S ribosomal RNA". It matches the Rfam family "Bacterial small subunit ribosomal RNA", at positions 524 to 776 of the family's 1533-position model. The record is from RNAcentral.